This 26-nucleotide non-coding RNA is filed under the name Drosophila melanogaster (fruit fly). Lineage: Eukaryota; Metazoa; Arthropoda; Insecta; Diptera; Drosophilidae. RNAcentral also lists the same sequence under 2 other names. The record is from RNAcentral.
CAACGGAUAUCUCGGCUCUCGCAUCG